This 73-nucleotide transfer RNA is filed under the name Cricetulus griseus (Chinese hamster). It matches the Rfam family "tRNA". Rfam says of the family: Transfer RNA (tRNA) molecules are approximately 80 nucleotides in length. Their secondary structure includes four short double-helical elements and three loops (D, anti-codon, and T loops). Further hydrogen bonds mediate the characteristic L-shaped molecular structure. tRNAs have two regions of fundamental functional importance: the anti-codon, which is responsible for specific mRNA codon recognition, and the 3' end, to which the tRNAs corresponding amino acid is attached (by aminoacyl-tRNA synthetases). tRNAs cope with the degeneracy of the genetic code in two manners: having more than one tRNA (with a specific anti-codon) for a particular amino acid; and 'wobble' base-pairing, i.e. permitting non-standard base-pairing at the 3rd anti-codon position. Lineage: Eukaryota; Metazoa; Chordata; Mammalia; Rodentia; Cricetidae. The record is from Rfam by way of RNAcentral.
AAGGAUGUAGCUCAGUGGGUAGAGCAUUUGCCUACUGUGCAUAAAGAUCUUGGUUCAACACCUAGUACCACUU